Molecule: ribosomal RNA, 439 nt
Filed under: uncultured bacterium
Lineage: Bacteria
Description: partial 16S ribosomal RNA
Rfam family: Bacterial small subunit ribosomal RNA
Source: RNAcentral
CCUACGGGUGGCAGCAGUAGGGAAUUUUGCGCAAUGGGCGAAAGCCUGACGCAGCAACACCGCGUGAAUGUUAAGCCCUUCGGGGUGUAAAGUUCUGUCAAUAGGGACGAAUUUUGACUGUACCUGAAGAAAAAGCAUCGGCUAACUCCGUGCCAGCAGCCGCAGUAAUACGGAGGAUGCGAGCGUUAUCCGGAUUUAUUGGGUUUAAAGGGUGCGUAGGCGGAAUAUCAAGUCAGCGGUAAAAAUUCGGGGCUCAACCCCGUCGUGCCGUUGAAACUGAUGUUCUUGAGUGGGCGAGAAGUAUGCGGAAUGCGUGGUGUAGCGGUGAAAUGCAUAGAUAUCACGCAGAACUCCGAUUGCGAAGGCAGCAUACCGGCGCCCAACUGACGCUGAAGCACGAAAGCGUGGGUAUCGAACAGGAUUAGAUACCCGAGUAGUC